AUGGCGGUCCCCACAUUGUCCUUCAACCCCUCCACCCUGGUUGGCUCAGACGCCGCCGGCUGCACCACCGGCACCGCAUGCGCCGGGCUCCCCGAGUGGGCUCUACUAUGCAGGGUGGGACGUAACUCACGCCGCCGGAACGCGACCACCGCCAGGAGCCACACAAGCGACGGCUUCGCCGUGGAGGUAUCCUUCUGGCUCGUCGACCCGCCGGGCGUCUACUACUUCUCCGUCAGCUGCCCCGGCUACCAAAACUUCACUUCCUCGCUCAUUUGCACCGAGGACGCCUUCGUCCUCUUCAGCGUCGCAUGCUGGGGUUCCACCGAGAACUACUUCAUCUACACAGCCCGCGGCCGUAACAACUCACGCGACUCCCGCAUCCACGCUGCCGGCGAUCCACCCCUGCACUGCGUCCCCCACCGAGACGCGCUCCUGCCCCCUUCUUGCGUCGGCCUAAGAUCCAUGGUGGUCCCCUCCACCCAGCUGGUUGGCUCAGACGCCGCCGGCUGCACCACCGGCACCGCACGCUCCAGGUUCCCCGAGUGGGCUCUACUCUGCAGGGUGGGACGUAAGUCUCGCCGGCGGAACGCGACCACUGCCAGGAGCCACACGAGGGAUGGCUUCGCCGUGGAGGUAUCCUUCUGGCUCGUCGACCCGCCGGGCGUCUCCUACUUCUCCGUCCGCUGCCCCGGCUACCAAAAGUUCACUUCCUCGCUCAUCUGCGCCGAGGACGCCUUCGUGCUCUUCAGCGUCGCACCGUGGGGGUCCACCCAGCACUACAUCGUCUACACAGCCCGCGGCCGCGGCCCCGGCCCCACCACGAUUUUCGGCCUCCUGCCCCGCGGUGGCGAGCACUACGCCGUGGCCUUCAUCGACCGCAAGGUCCGCAACUGGACCCUCGAUGGCGAUUCCUGGCGCUUUGACACCUACAUCUUCUCGUCCAAAACGGGGGCAUGGAGGAGCAGCCACGCGUCCUUGGUGCACCUAUCGGUCUCUGACAAGCGAUUGUGCGACCAACACACCUUCUCCAAGCAGAUCACGGUCGGAGAAGGCUCGAUGGGCUGGGUUGACUCCGACCAUGGCAUUCUCCUUCUCCACAACCUGUUCGAUGACGGGCGUCCUGUCAUCGAUUUAAUCCCAUUGCCCCGAUGUGCCUCGCGGUAUAAAUUCUUCGACGUGGACAUUCUGAACCUCGAGAAGGCGACUCUGACCCACCAGAUAGAGGACAAGGUCCCCAUGAUCGCGCACGAUAAUAAGUUGGAGCUUUGUGAGCUGCGUGUCUCGUUUCUGGUGACCAAUGAUGUUCUUGAGAGGAUGCACUCCCAUGUCACUGACAAGCAACAUAUUUGUUAUGGUCUGGUUAUAGGGAUUUCCUUGUUGAAUACAAGGCUGCGGGAGAACCGGAGACGCGUGCAAGAUAGGCCUUUUGACAGCAACCACGGGAUAUGCCCCAAGAUCCACGAUCCAACUCUCAAGCAAAGGUUCACAAGAGAGCGCCAUGUGGCAAGUACAGUGGAGAAGGCGGCCAACAUCAUCAACGAGUUCGUCGGCCUGCGCCACCACUUCGGUGGCUGCUUCUUCUUCGACUCAUGCAUUGUGUAUGACAUCACUCGUCGAGAGAUGUUCAGAAACCUUUCUGAUAUAUGGACGAAGGAAAUCGACCAGUAUUCAACCAACCAGGAUUGUAUAAAGAUGAAAGAAAGUCUCGCUGUUGGCCUUGGUCCUAUUUUGGGUUUGCACAUGAAUGGCUGGGGCUUGUCAAAAACUGGUCCUGAAUUGAAUUCAUUAGCGACGAAAACCGCCGGGCGUCUCCUACUUCUCCGUCCGCUGCCCCGGCUACCAAAAGUUCACUUCCUCGCUCAUCUGCGCCAGGACGCCUUCGUCCUCUUCAGCGUCGCACCAUGGGGGUCCACCCAGCACUACUUCGUCUACACAGCCCGCGGCCGCGGCCCCGGCCCCGGCCCCACCGUUACUCAGCCAUCGCUGCGACUGCUCCCGCAUCCCAGUCCUGCCUUCAACGGCUGGCACACGAUUUUCGGCCUCCUGCCCCGCGGUGGCGAGCACUACGCCGUGGCCUUCGUCGACCGCAAGGUCCACAACUGGACCCUCGAUGGCGAUUUCUGGCGCUUUGACACCUACCUCUUCUCAUCCGAAACGGGGGCAUGGAGGAGCAACCACGCGUCCUUGGUGCACCUAUCGGUCUCUGACAAGCGAUUGUGCGACCAACACACCUUCUCCAAGCAGAUCACGGUCGGAGAAGGCUCGAUGGGCUGGGUUGACUCCGACCAUGGCAUUCUCCUUCUCCACAACCUGUUCGACGAUGGACGUCCUAUCAUCGAUUUAAUCCCAUUGCCCCGUUGCGCCUCGCGGUAUUUCUUCAACGAAAAGAACCUAAAAAUAUUCCUUGACUUGAAUAAAAUCUGGAGGAUAUGUUACACGGAAUGGGGUUCUCACAAAUCACAAUGGGCAAUCCCUGCAACCCUUACUGUCGAACGGGUAGCACUGCAGCAACAUCGAUUGACCGUGCAAAACGUGACUGUCAGUGUAAUGAACAAGCGCAUAAACCUCUACACACCUGACCGUAGGAUAGUCACCUGUUGA
Molecule: ribosomal RNA, 2601 nt
Filed under: Triticum aestivum (bread wheat)
Lineage: Eukaryota; Viridiplantae; Streptophyta; Magnoliopsida; Poales; Poaceae
Description: partial small subunit ribosomal RNA
Source: RNAcentral